Rubrivivax sp. SCN 71-131 is the source of this 373-nucleotide non-coding RNA. The record is from Rfam. NCBI's taxonomy places the organism in Bacteria, Pseudomonadati, Pseudomonadota, Betaproteobacteria, Burkholderiales, Sphaerotilaceae.
GGGACCGACUUGGCUUCGACGUGGGUGCGGAGCCGGCGCGGGGCAUGCCGAGCACCAGUACGCUCGUAAAUCCACUGGAAACAAGUAACUGCGAACGACGAACGUUUCGCCCUCGCCGCUUAACACCGGCGAGCCUCGCAACAGCUCUCCGAUGGGCUGGGUCUGAGGUCGCAAGACCAAGGGCUGCGAGGUCAUUCACAUCGGAUCGGCCUGCGCCGCGUCAUUCGGCACGGGCUCAAAUUCAAGUGACUCGGGGAUUGGGUAGCGUGCUGCUGCGCGACUCAGGCCCUCAGACUCAAAUCAGUCAGCUACGCAUGUAGAACCGUCCGGUGAUGGCUUGCGGACGGGGGUUCGAUUCCCCCCGGUUCCACCA